UACAGAGGUCUCAAGCGUUGUCCGGAAUUAUUGGGCGUAAAGAGCUUGUAGGCGGUUUGUCGCGUCUGCUGUGAAAAUCCGGGGCUCAACCCCGGACUUGCGGUGGGUACGGGCAGACUAGAGUGUGGUAGGGGAGACUGGAAUUCCUGGUGUAGCGGUGAAAUGCGCAGAUAUCAGGAGGAACACCGAUGGCGAAGGCAGGUCUCUGGGCCACUACUGACGCUGAGAAGCGAAAGCGUGGGGAGCGAACAGG
This 253-nucleotide ribosomal RNA is filed under the name uncultured bacterium. RNAcentral's name for it is "partial 16S ribosomal RNA". It matches the Rfam family "Bacterial small subunit ribosomal RNA", at positions 524 to 776 of the family's 1533-position model. The record is from RNAcentral.